This 465-nucleotide ribosomal RNA is filed under the name uncultured bacterium. RNAcentral describes it as "partial 16S ribosomal RNA". It matches the Rfam family "Bacterial small subunit ribosomal RNA", at positions 28 to 507 of the family's 1533-position model. The record is from RNAcentral.
GACGAACGCUGGCGGCGUGCUUAACACAUGCAAGUCGUACGGUAGGGCCCUUUCGGGGGUACACGAGUGGCGAACGGGUGAGUAACACGUGAGUAACCUGCCCACAACUUUGGGAUAACGCUAGGAAACUGGUGCUAAUACUGGAUAUGUGCUCCUGCUGCAUGGUGGGGGUUGGAAAGCUCCGGCGGUUGUGGAUGGACUCGCGGCCUAUCAGCUUGUUGGUGGGGUAGUGGCCUACCAAGGCGGCGACGGGUAGCCGGCCUGAGAGGGUGACCGGCCACAUUGGGACUGAGAUACGGCCCAGACUCCUACGGGAGGCAGCAGUGGGGAAUAUUGCACAAUGGGCGCAAGCCUGAUGCAGCAACGCCGCGUGCGGGAUGACGGCCUUCGGGUUGGAAACCGCUUUCAGCAGGGACGAAGCUUUUUGUGACGGUACCUGCAGAAGAAGCACCGGCUAACUACGUG